GAUGAACGCUGGCGGCGUGCCUAAUACAUGCAAGUCGAGCGAACAGACGAGGAGCUUGCUCCUCUGACGUUAGCGGCGGACGGGUGAGUAACACGUGGAUAACCUACCUAUAAGACUGGGAUAACUUCGGGAAACCGGAGCUAAUACCGGAUAAUAUAUUGAACCGCAUGGGUCAAUAGUGAAAGACGGUUUUGCUGUCACUUAUAGAUGGAUCCGCGCCGCAUUCGUUAGUUGGUAAGGUAACGGCUUAGCAAGGCAACGAUGCGUAGCCGCCCUGAGAGGGUGAUCGGCCACACUGGAUCUGAGACACGGUCCAGACUCCUACGCGAGGCAGCAGUAGGGAAUCUUCCGCAAUGGGCGAGUGCCUGACGGAGCACCGCCGCGUGAGUGAUGAAGGUCUUCGGAUCGUAAAGCUCUGUUAUUAGGGAAGAACAAAUGUGUAAGUAACUAUGCACGUCUUGACGGUACCUAAUCAGAAAGCCACGGCUAACUCCGUG
RNAcentral lists this ribosomal RNA (497 nucleotides) under uncultured bacterium. RNAcentral describes it as "partial 16S ribosomal RNA". It matches the Rfam family "Bacterial small subunit ribosomal RNA", at positions 28 to 507 of the family's 1533-position model. The record is from RNAcentral.